UGUUAAGAGACCAGUGUUGAUCAGUGGCUGUCCAGGCCUUUCAGAGCCACUGACACGCUGACAGCACAAUGAUGAUGUCACUGAUUCUACUGCUGGCCACCCUGGGGCUCCAUGUUCAGGAUUCAUCAGGAGAAAUCAUCCUGACUCAGUCUCCUGGAUCUCAGUCUGUUGUUCCAGGACAGACUGUCUCUAUCAGAUGUAAAGCCAGUUCAGAUAUGAGCACCUACCUUCACUGGUGCCUUCAGAAACCUGGAGAGUCUCCGAAACUUCUAAUUUAUUAUGCUACAACUCGUCAGUCUGGUGUUUCAGAUCGUUUUAGUGGAAGUGGAUCUGGGACUGACUUCACUCUGACCAUCAGUGGAGUUCAGACUGAAGAUGCAGGAGUUUAUUACUGUCAGCAGGGAGGUUACAGCUGGCCGUUCACACAGUGA
This is a non-coding RNA of Epinephelus fuscoguttatus (brown-marbled grouper), 431 nucleotides long. NCBI's taxonomy places the organism in Eukaryota, Metazoa, Chordata, Actinopteri, Perciformes, Serranidae. The record is from the annotation of a RefSeq genome assembly.